UGAGUUUAAGGACAUAGAAAUACAUAUGCACAUUAUAUGAGCUUGUGAAUAAUUAGGAUAUCGGAAGCUAAUAUAUUGAAGGCCCAGUCAUGGGUGAAAAUGACACGAAGGCCCAACCAUGGGUGAAAAUGGUUACUAGGGGUUUGGUACACCCCUAGUCUACCUUUCUUAUAUUAUUUAUGCCAUUUCUACUUUCUUAAAACGUUUUUUCUGUAUUGUAUUCAUACUUGUAAAAACCCACAGUAUUAUUGGAAUCGUUUAUGUUUCGAAUAAGACA
Molecule: long non-coding RNA, 277 nt
Organism: Lycium ferocissimum
Lineage: Eukaryota; Viridiplantae; Streptophyta; Magnoliopsida; Solanales; Solanaceae
Exons: 2
Source: RefSeq, a predicted model, not a curated record